ACACAGAGAUAGGAAGGCAGGGACCCAAUCCAUUCUAUUGUUCCUGAGCCCAUCAUGGCCAACAGACUCUUUUGCUGGGUCUCCCUUUUUCUCCUUGGAGCAGCUCCCACUGAAGCAGGAAUCACUCAGACACCCAGAUACCUGGUGACGAAGAUGAAGCAGGAGGUGACACUGAGAUGUGAACAAAAUUUGGGCCACAAUGCCAUGUAUUGGUACCAACAGGAGCCACAGAAAGGACCCAAGAUAAUGUUUUCUUAUAAUUAUAAAGAGAUGAACGUAAAUGAGACUGUUCCUCCCCGAUUCAAGCCUACAUUAGUAAAUAAUCACUUGACUCUCAGCAUCCAGCCUGUGGAAGCAGAAGACUCAGCCACCUACCUCUGUGGUAGCAGCAGAGACACAGCCUUGCAGAGUCAUCUCCAAGCUGUGCAGAAACCUCCUGAUCCCCGGCAUAGGUAG
This is a non-coding RNA of Antechinus flavipes (yellow-footed antechinus), 456 nucleotides long. The record is from the annotation of a RefSeq genome assembly. NCBI's taxonomy places the organism in Eukaryota, Metazoa, Chordata, Mammalia, Dasyuromorphia, Dasyuridae.